UGCUUGGUGUGACAUUUUCUUUUAUUC
This 27-nucleotide non-coding RNA is filed under the name Rattus norvegicus (Norway rat). Lineage: Eukaryota; Metazoa; Chordata; Mammalia; Rodentia; Muridae. The record is from RNAcentral.